This 502-nucleotide ribosomal RNA is filed under the name uncultured bacterium. RNAcentral describes it as "partial 16S ribosomal RNA". It matches the Rfam family "Bacterial small subunit ribosomal RNA", at positions 28 to 523 of the family's 1533-position model. The record is from RNAcentral.
GAUGAACGCUAGCGGCAGGCCUAACCCAUGCAAGUCGAGGGGCAGCACAGAAACAGCAAUGUUUUGGUGGCCACCGGCGGACGGGUGCGUAACGCGUAUGCAACCUACCUUUAACAGGGGGAUAACGGAGAGAAAUAUCCACUAAUACCCCAUAACAUCGAUCAAGGCAUCUUGAUUGGUUGAAAACUCCGGUGGUUAAAGAUGGGCAUGCGUUGUAUUAGGUAGUUGGUGAGGUAAUGGCUCACCAAGCCUACGAUACAUAGGGGGACUGAGAGGUUAGCCCCCCACACUGGUACUGAGACACGGACCAGACUCCUACGGGAGGCAGCAGUGAGGAAUAUUGGUCAAUGGGGGCAACCCUGAACCAGCCAUGCCGCGUGCAGGAAGACGGCUCUAUGAGUUGUAAACUGCUUUUAAACAGGGAUAAAGCACAGUAUGUAUACUGUGUUGAAGGUACUGUAAGAAUAAGGAUCGGCUAACUCCGUGCCAGCCGCCGCAGUAA